UUAAUUGAAGAGUUUGAUCAUGGCUCAGAUUGAACGCUGGCGGCAGGCCUAACACAUGCAAGUCGAGCGGUAACACAAGGGAGCUUGCUUCUGAGGUGACGAGCGGCGGACGGGUGAGUAAUGCCUAGGGAUCUGCCCAGUCGAGGGGGAUAACAGUUGGAAACGACUGCUAAUACCGCAUACGCCCUACGGGGGAAAGGAGGGGACCUUCGGGC
This 215-nucleotide ribosomal RNA is filed under the name Shewanella sp. SR43-8. Its description in RNAcentral is "partial 16S ribosomal RNA". It matches the Rfam family "Bacterial small subunit ribosomal RNA", at positions 1 to 221 of the family's 1533-position model. RNAcentral also lists the same sequence under 2 other names. The record is from RNAcentral. Lineage: Bacteria; Pseudomonadati; Pseudomonadota; Gammaproteobacteria; Alteromonadales; Shewanellaceae.